GUGCCAGCAGCCGCGGUAAUACGGAGGGCGCGAGCGUUACCCGGAUUUACUGGGCGUAAAGGGCGUGUAGGCGGCCUGGGGCGUCCCAUGUGAAAGGUCACGGCUCAACCGUGGAGGAGCGUGGGAUACGCUCAGGCUAGAGGGUGGGAGAGGGUGGUGGAAUUCCCGGAGUAGCGGUGAAAUGCGCAGAUACCGGGAGGAACGCCGAUGGCGAAGGCAGCCACCUGGUCCACUUCUGACGCUGAGGCGCGAAAGCGUGGGGAGCAAACCGGAUUAGAUACCCGGGUAGUCCACGCCCUAAACGAUGCGCGCUAGGUCUUUGGGGUUUACCUGGGAGCCGAAGCCAACGCGUUAAGCGCGCCGCCUGGGGAGUACGGCCGCAAGGCUGAAACUCAAAGGAAUUGACGGGGGCCCGCACAAGCGGUGGAGCAUGUGGUUUAAUUCGAAGCAACGCGAAGAACCUUACCAGGCCUUGACAUGCUGGGGAACCUGGGUGAAAGCCUGGGGUGCCCGUGAGGGAGCCCUAGCACAGGUGCUGCAUGGCCGUCGUCAGCUCGUGUCGUGAGAUGUUGGGUUAAGUCCCGCAACGAGCGCAACCCCCGCCCUUAGUUGCCAGCGGGUUGGGCCGGGCACUCUAAGGGGACUGCCUGCGAAAGCAGGAGGAAGGCGGGGACGACGUCUGGUCAUCAUGGCCCUUACGGCCUGGGCGACACACGUGCUACAAUGCCCACUACAGAGCGAGGCGACCCAGUGAUGGGGAGCGAAUCGCAAAAAGGUGGGCGUAGUUCGGAUUGGGGUCUGCAACCCGACCCCAUGAAGCCGGAAUCGCUAGUAAUCGCGGAUCAGCCAUGCCGCGGUGAAUACGUUCCCGGGCCUUGUACACACCGCCCGUCACGCCAUGGGAGCGGGUUCUACCCGAAGUCGCCGGGAGCCUUAGGGCAGGCGCCGAGGGUAGGGCUCGUGACUGGGGCGAAGUCGUAACAAGGUAACCGU
RNAcentral lists this ribosomal RNA (993 nucleotides) under uncultured bacterium. Its description in RNAcentral is "bacterial SSU rRNA". It matches the Rfam family "Bacterial small subunit ribosomal RNA", at positions 505 to 1503 of the family's 1533-position model. The record is from RNAcentral.